GUUGUGGGAAAUGAAAACUUAUGUAUCGGAGCUGCUUGAAUUGAAUCUCAGGUAGGAUCGUGAUCGGAGAGAGAGAGAGAGAGUCUGAAAAUUCCAGUGCGAAUCGGGAAUGUCAAGGGUUUCGAGAAAAUGGAUGGCGGAGGUAUAACAAUAAGAUACAAGGGAGUCACUGUACACACUCCCAAGACGUGGCACGAUCUUUAUGUGGUUUUGGAUUGAAAAUUCUGGACAAUGGAUACGUCUUAAUUAGUAUCAUCGAGGCAAUCAAGCAGCUGUUAAUGUGAAAAUUAGGUUAUGUCUCCGGUCAGAACCAAUGUUGAGUUCAUUUAAAUAUUUUUUUUUGCCUGUAGUCUGAUCGAAUCAUUAAAGUUCUUAUGCGGAGUUCGGUUAUCAAUAAAGAUUGAAAAAAACUUAUCAAAUGCUCGUGAUUGUGGUGAACAAAAAUAAAAAUAAAAUGCUCGUGACGCGGAGUUCGGUUAUCAACCAAAUAUAUAGAAUUACUAUAGAUUUCAGUUAAAUAAACAAAUAAGUUGGAACGAUUUCUUACUAUUCAAUCGUUCCAACUUCGUCUUAAACCGAGAGUGCAUGUAAUGCGGAUCUCUCUCUUCUACAAUCGUAUCUCAUUUUGUCAUUGAGUUUUCUUUGUAUAGCUUUAAUUCAUUGUCCAAAAAACUGCUUUGAUGUUUUUUUUUUUUUUAGAUGGUUCAUGAAUACAGCUGAAUCUUCAAUUUUUGAUUAUAGAUCUGAAGUUAUCCAUCUUUCUUUUCUUUUCCUAUUGUAAGCUUCGUUUGCAUCACUGCUUCAGUUUGCAUAAUACACAAAGUGAGUAGUGUUUAAUGCUUCUAUUUACACGAAUCAGUUAACUUCUCAGUCGGGUCUUUCCCCGAGAGAUUCCACGUGUUGUCUUUGUUUUCCUGAUCAGAAACGCAAGCCUAAGCUCUACCUGAUGCACGCCGCUUCCAAGGAGCUGAAAAUUCGUGCUACUUCCAGCGUUUCUGAACUUCAAAGGUCUACUCCAAGUAGCGAUGUUAACAUGACGGCAGAGUUUGAGUUGGAGUUGCAAGAGUUGUUCAAUGAUGUCAAAUCCAUGGUUAAGAUUGGGGUGAGAGUGACGCAAUGGACCUUCUCCGACCUAAUUACGUUGCUGUCAAAGAAGAGAUCGAUUCGGGCUUGAAAGGUGUCGAACAAGGUGCUCUUCUGGACAUAAUUGCCUUAGGUUAUAUGGCUGAGACUUAAACCUCUUCCUGCAUUGCUUGAUAUGAUAAAUAAGAUUGUUGAUAAGUUAAGGGACAACAAAGACGAGAUUGACAUGUCAAUUCUUGUUGCUACUCGCUGGAUAGUACCCGCUGAUGCUGCAGCUAGUGAUGCUUGGUUUGUGGUUAAGGAAGAUCUCCGCAGAGUCAUAAUCCUCCUCCGUCUGAAUCUGAUACUCGUUGAAGGUUUCCAUGCGAGGGUCGUAGUAGAGUAACAUCUGAAAACCAGUCUCGAGCUUCUUCUUUGCGAAGACCAAUUCACCAGACGGUAUGGUUCCUUCAAAGGAAUACGAGCCAGUGACCUUCUCGCUCCAACCCUUAACCUCUACCUCUCUCUCCCCCCAGAGUCCAGAAUCCUUGUCCUUUACACAGAUCUUAAACUUUCCCGUAGUAGCUAACUCAUGCGCAGAAUCGGAAACUAAACAUGGUUGGCCAUUGUAACUUCUCAGUUUGGUGAUACCAAGCUUAAGUAGGAAAGCCGUAGGCAGCUCCGUAAUCAAGAUCGACUCUGUAGUCAAAUUCACAGUAACUGCAAGACAUGUCUUGUUAUGCACCGCACCCAGGUACACGUUACCUUCAAUGGAGAGCGAGUUGGUGAUUGGCGUGUAGGGACGAGGACAGUCGAUCUGACGCCAUAUGACCUCUCCGGGUUGAACGGUGAAUAUCUCAUGGCGCCAAGGUAAAUUGUGGUCACCGGCCUCUGUCUUUAUGACUUUAAAAGCCUUGGACUGUUCGUCAAAUCCAAAUAAAAAGCCUCGGUGGUUGAAUCUCUUUCGGGUCUGCGGCGGCUCCGGCUCGAACUCGAGCACCGUCAGACAUUUUCUGAUCGCCGGAUUGCAGAGGACGAGGCAGAGGAGGCCUCUUAUAGGUCCGGACGUGACGGCGAAAUCUGAGUUUGGAAGCGUUGUCACAUGGUGAGGAUCAGCGAUCGGCUGCGGGCGCUCUUGGUUGACGGUAUUGAACGACUCGUAUUGAGGUUCGCCGUCGUUCCAGACUCUUCGUUGACAGAGCCUCAGAAGAACAAGCAUGGGUUGUUUCUUGGACUCUUGGUAAUGCGCAUGCUGGAGGCUUCUGUCCCCAAUCGACCUCUCCCAUUCCUUAGAAACCACAAUACACCUUGCCAGAGACUUGGGAGGCAAUUUUGAACGAAUGACAUCCUUCAACUCUUCGGGCAUCAUUGCAAAGUCCGAGUUCUCCAUUGUGUUUCUUUUCUAUCUCAGAUGUUUUUUUUUUGUUUGUUUGAUAAGAUUAUCAGCAUGUCAGCCUUCUAAUUUAUAGAUUGCAUUUAACAGAAGC
Long non-coding RNA from Brassica napus (rape), 2549 nucleotides. RefSeq lists it as uncharacterized. The record is from RefSeq and is a predicted model, not a curated record. The transcript has 7 exons. Lineage: Eukaryota; Viridiplantae; Streptophyta; Magnoliopsida; Brassicales; Brassicaceae.